GGCACGCCUAACACAUGCAAGUCGAACGAAGUAGCAAUACUUAGUGGCAGACGGGUGAGUAACAUGUAGGUAUCUGCCCUUUGGCCUGGAAUAACACGAGGAAACUUGUGCUAAUACCGGAUAAGUCUUUACGGAGAAAGCUUUAUGCACCAUUGGAUGAGCCUGCACUUGAUUAGUUUGUUGGUGGGGUAAUGGCCUACCAAGACUAUGAUCAAUAGCUGAUUUGAGAGGAUGAUCAGCCACAUUGGGACUGAGACACGGCCCAAACUCCUACGGGAGGCAGCAGUGGGGAAUCUUGCACAAUGGAGGAAACUCUGAUGCAGCGAUGCCGCGUGAGUGAAGAAGGCCCUUGGGUUGUAAAGCUCUUUCGUCGGGGAAGAAAAUGACUGUACCCGAAUAAGAAGGUCCGGCUAACU
This 416-nucleotide ribosomal RNA is filed under the name uncultured bacterium. RNAcentral's name for it is "bacterial SSU rRNA". It matches the Rfam family "Bacterial small subunit ribosomal RNA", at positions 41 to 502 of the family's 1533-position model. The record is from RNAcentral.